RNAcentral lists this transfer RNA (62 nucleotides) under Homalodisca vitripennis (glassy-winged sharpshooter). Its description in RNAcentral is "tRNA-Pro". Lineage: Eukaryota; Metazoa; Arthropoda; Insecta; Hemiptera; Cicadellidae. The record is from RNAcentral.
CAGCAAAUAGUUUAUUAAAAUAUUAAUUUUGGAGAUUAAAGAUGUAAAUUCUACUUUGCUGA